AGCGAACGCUGGCGGCAGGCCUAACACAUGCAAGUCGAACGAACCUUUCGGGUGUAGUGGCGGACGGGUGAGUAACACGUGGGAACGUUCCCUUAGGUUCGGAAUAACUCAGGGAAACGUGUGCUAAUACCGAAUGAGCCCUUCGGGGGAAAGAUUUUUCGCCUUUAGAGCGGCCCGCGUCUGAUUAGCUAGUUGGUUGAGGUAAUGGCUCACCAAGGCGACGAUCAGUAGCUGGUCGGAGAGGAUGAUCAGCCACAUUGGGACUGAGACACGGCCCAAACUCCUACGGGAGGCAGCAGUGGGGAAUCUUGCGCAAUGGGCGAAAGCCUGACGCAGCCAUGCCGCGUGAAUGAUGAAGGUCUUAGGAUUGUAAAAUUCUUUCACCGGGGACGAUAAUGACGGUACCCGGAGAAGAAGCCCCGGCUAACUUCGUG
RNAcentral lists this ribosomal RNA (434 nucleotides) under uncultured bacterium. RNAcentral's name for it is "partial 16S ribosomal RNA". It matches the Rfam family "Bacterial small subunit ribosomal RNA", at positions 29 to 507 of the family's 1533-position model. The record is from RNAcentral.